This 459-nucleotide ribosomal RNA is filed under the name uncultured bacterium. Its description in RNAcentral is "partial 16S ribosomal RNA". It matches the Rfam family "Bacterial small subunit ribosomal RNA", at positions 338 to 795 of the family's 1533-position model. The record is from RNAcentral.
CCUACGGGUGGCAGCAGGGAGGAAUAUUGGUCAAUGGGCGGAAGGCUGAACCAGCCAAGCCGCGGGAGGGAGGAAGGCGCAGAGGGUGGCAGACCUCUUUUGCCGGGGGACAAAAGGCCGGACUCGUCCGGUCCUGAGGGUACCCGGAGAAAAAGCAACGGCUAACUCCGUGCCAGCAGCCGCGGUAAUACGGGGGAUGCGAGCGUUAUCCGGCUUCAUUGGGGUUAAAGGGUGCGCAGGCGGGCCUUUAAGCCGGCGGUAAAAUCGCGGGGCUCAACCCCGCCGCGCCGUCGGAACUGGGGGCCUUGAGUGCGGCAGAGGCAUGCGGAAUGCGCGGUGUAGCGGUGACAUGCAUAGAUAUCGCGCAGAACCCCGAUUGCGAAGGCAGCGUGCCGUGCCGCCACUGACGCUGAGGCACGAAAGCGCGGGGAUCGAACAGGAUUAGAUACCCUUGUAGUC